Long non-coding RNA from Heteronotia binoei (common prickly gecko), 1457 nucleotides. RefSeq lists it as uncharacterized. The record is from RefSeq and is a predicted model, not a curated record. NCBI's taxonomy places the organism in Eukaryota, Metazoa, Chordata, Lepidosauria, Squamata, Gekkonidae. The transcript is spliced from 2 exons.
CACCUACUUUGCUUUACACCUGCAAUAGAAAGAUCACAAAACAAAUAGGUCUAUGUCUGGGCCACGCCAAAUACACAUACCAUACCAUACAUAUUUCUGGCAUGCAAAUAAUAAAGGUAGCUUAAAUUGGGAGAAAUUGCACCCUGCUUCAUCUGUGUUAGUUCAGUAUUGAAAUUCAUCUUCUGUUAGCUGGUCCAAGUAAUAUAAUGUGUGGGGAAAGUACCUCUACACAUGCACAGAGUUCCUUCACCACUGAAACUCAAAAGGGUGGCUAGGAAAGAUAUUAAAGCAUAAUCUUUCAUAGCUAGAGCACACUCUGUCAGCAACUAAUUGAUUCCUCAGUCAGUGAGAUCCAUUUGCUAUGAGACUCCAUUUCACAACUGUUUCAGUCUCUUUAAUGUUCUCCAAGAAUUUUUUUUGUUAUAUCAGACUCUAGAUGAUACCCCACUGAAAUCUUCCACUACUGAACUAUGGUAUAUCUACUUUUCCCAUAUACUCACAAGAAUCAUGGAAACUUCCACAGAAACCCAAAAUUUUGUUCAGAGUUCUUUUCCCUUCCUUCCAGAUAAUGCCACCCAAGUCUACAUGCGGAAUAAGGCUCACUCUAGAAAUCUGUCCCAAACCUAGGACUGAAACCAGAAUGUAUAAUAUCUCCUUUCCCUCUAAAAGCAAGUUCACUUUAGCGACUAGCUUCUUCCAGCCUUGGCAGGUGAACUGCAAAAGGAAGGGCAAGAGUUGCUCUUUCAGUUGUCUCUUCUAUUCACCUUCAGUGACAAAGGGAGGGAGGAAGCUCUGCUGAAAUAGACUAGUUUGGAAGGAAAGCUGUAAAGAUUCUUGAAACAGCCGCCUGCAUCACUUACGCAGUUGGAGGUAGUCCACUUCCCACGUAUACACACCGUUCCUGGAGAGGCCCCAUCACCAUGGGUAUAAUGCACUACAGACAAACCCCUGUCUCCUGACUACAUUACCCACUUCCCUAAUCACAGUCUUUCCUGAUGCUACUAUCUUCUGCACAGGCCCUGCUUUCUGUACAGUCAUUCUUUACUGAUGAGGCUGAGUGACUACAGACAUUUAUUUCCCCUAACUGCUCUUCAAAAGACUACUGAUCACACACUACAUAUCUGCCAGAAAGUGAGUGCACUCUGUGCCCAUUCCAAUCUGUGUCUUCUCCCCCCUUGCUGUUCAUCCAACAGCAUCACAUAGCUCCUGCAGAAUAGAAUAUAGGCACAGACCCAAAGGUAGCCCAAGAGAAUAGCUGUAAGAAAGAGAUGAGUUACUAAUAUCCUAAUUUCUUAGAAGUUAUGUAGCAAAUCAAGGGGGUUAUUAAAGGUGUGUGCUUUGAUACAUGGUGGAAAUUGGUGUCUAUGAUUUAUGCUUUGUAUCUCUGAAUGAUGUUUCUGUAAUUCGCUUUGGUCUUUUUCUUAGUCUUUUUCAUUACAAAAAAAAGUAGAACUGGA